This 108-nucleotide small RNA is filed under the name Mangrovimonas sp. YM274. RNAcentral's name for it is "6S RNA". It matches the Rfam family "6S-Flavo RNA". The record is from RNAcentral. Lineage: Bacteria; Pseudomonadati; Bacteroidota; Flavobacteriia; Flavobacteriales; Flavobacteriaceae.
ACUCAACGUUAAUUCUUUAAAAAGGGUGAGUUUAAGCUGUAAGACCGAGCUGCCUCUGAGUAGAGGGUCGAUCAGUUUGUUAGCCCUAAACUUGUUUUUAAGGAGUUU